GGCAACCCUGACGGAGCAACGCCGCGUGCGGGAAGACGGCCUGUGGGUUGUAAACCGCUUUUCUCAGGGAAGAAGCUCUGACGGUACCUGAGGAAUCAGCCUCGGCUAACUCCGUGCCAGCAGCCGCGGUAAUACGGAGGAGGCAAGCGUUAUCCGGAAUUAUUGGGCGUAAAGCGUCCGCAGGUGGCGAUUCAAGUCUGCUGUCAAAGCACGGGGCUUAACUCCGUUAAGGCAGUGGAAACUGAAUGGCUAGAGUGCCGUAGGGGUAGAGGGAAUUCCCAGUGUAGCGGUGAAAUGCGUAGAGAUUGGGAAGAACACCGGUGGCGAAAGCGCUCUACUGGACCACACCUGACACUCAGAGGACGAAAGCUAGGGGAGCG
RNAcentral lists this ribosomal RNA (380 nucleotides) under uncultured cyanobacterium. RNAcentral describes it as "bacterial SSU rRNA". It matches the Rfam family "Bacterial small subunit ribosomal RNA", at positions 376 to 770 of the family's 1533-position model. Lineage: Bacteria; Bacillati; Cyanobacteriota. The record is from RNAcentral.